This 566-nucleotide ribosomal RNA is filed under the name uncultured Glomus. RNAcentral's name for it is "SSU rRNA". It matches the Rfam family "Eukaryotic small subunit ribosomal RNA", at positions 546 to 1106 of the family's 1831-position model. The record is from RNAcentral. Lineage: Eukaryota; Fungi; Glomeromycota; Glomeromycetes; Glomerales; Glomeraceae.
AAUUGGAGGGCAAGUCUGGUGCCAGCAGCCGCGGUAAUUCCAGCUCCAAUAGCGUAUAUUAAAGUUGUUGCAGUUAAAAAGCUCGUAGUUGAAUUUCGGGAUUGGCGCAUCGGUCGUGCCUUACGGGGUAUGAACUGGUGCAGUCAAUUUCUCACCUUCUGGAGAACCGCGAUGUCCUUAAUUGGGUGCCGCGAGGAACCAGGACCUUUACUUUGAAAAAAUUAGAGUGUUUAAAGCAGGCAUUUUUGCUUGAAUACAUUAGCAUGGAAUAAUAAAAUAGGACGGCAUGGUUCUAUUUUGUUGGUUUCUAGGACCACCGUAAUGAUUAAUAGGGAUAGUUGGGGGCAUUAGUAUUCAAUUGUCAGAGGUGAAAUUCUUGGAUUUAUUGAAGACUAACUACUGCGAAAGCAUUUGCCAAGGAUGUUUUCAUUAAUCAAGAACGAAAGUUAGGGGAUCGAAGACGAUCAGAUACCGUCGUAGUCUUAACCAUAAACUAUGCCGACUAGGAAUCAGACGAUGUUAAUUUUUUAAUGACUCGUUUGGCACCUUACGGGAAACCAAAGUGU